UGUUAAAAAUUCCAUCCAUUUGUAAUGUUAAAAACUGGCAUGGUUGACAAAAUAAUCAGAUAGUAAUAUGUGGCGUGCCACAUAUACCUCAUGCUUAUGUACAUGGACCAAUUUUUAAUCGUGGAAAUAGAUGAAACUUUUAACA
Molecule: non-coding RNA, 145 nt
Organism: Gossypium raimondii (Peruvian cotton)
Lineage: Eukaryota; Viridiplantae; Streptophyta; Magnoliopsida; Malvales; Malvaceae
Source: Rfam